UGGGGAAUUUUGGACAAUGGGCGAAAGCCUGAUCCAGCAAUGCCGCGUGUGUGAAGAAGGCCUUCGGGUUGUAAAGCACUUUUGUCCGGAAAGAAAUCCUUGGCUCUAAUACAGUCGGGGGAUGACGGUACCGGAAGAAUAAGCACCGGCUAACUACGUGCCAGCAGCCGCGGUAAUACGUAGGGUGCAAGCGUUAAUCGGAAUUACUGGGCGUAAAGCGUGCGCAGGCGGUUUGCUAAGACCGAUGUGAAAUCCCCGGGCUCAACCUGGGAACUGCAUUGGUGACUGGCAGGCUAGAGUAUGGCAGAGGGGGGUAGAAUUCCACGUGUAGCAGUGAAAAUGCGUAGAGAUGUGGAGGAAUACCGAUGGCGAAGGCAGCCCCCUGGGCAAUACUGACGCUCAUGCACGAAAGCGUGGGGAGCAAACAGGAUUAGAUACCCUGGUAGUCCACGCCCUAAAACGAUGUCAACUAGUUGUUGGGGAUUCAUUUCCUAGUAACGUAGCUAACGCGUGAAGUUGACCGCCUGGGGAGUACGGUCGCAAGAUUAAAACUCAAAGGAAUUGACGGGGUCAUAGCUG
Molecule: ribosomal RNA, 579 nt
Filed under: uncultured bacterium
Lineage: Bacteria
Description: partial 16S ribosomal RNA
Rfam family: Bacterial small subunit ribosomal RNA
Source: RNAcentral